AAUUUAUAUUGGUCCAAUAUUAUAAAGUAAUCUGUUUUUAGCUAAUACUUAAUUAUGAUUAAAUGGGCAAAUUUAAUGACUUCGGAAUGCUUGCGGCGUGCGUGGACGUUGUCCAUGGGAACCUCUGCCGCAAGCGCAAAAAUUCUCAGAAAAAUUAUUAUCGUGCCAAGGCACGUACUUAUAUAACUGUGAAGCUAAAUCUUAACGUCGAGUAAGAACUCGACAUAUGCACCACCCAGUGGUGCGGAGCGAAAACGCAUACAACUUUGCAGGAUCAUUUCGGUGCAAUAUUGCAAUUGUAUAUCUCUGUAAUAUCUCUGCAAAAUUACAUGCAACUUGUAAUGUUGCAACAUUCCUGCAAUAAAACUGGAAGCUUACGUGCUGUAUGGGGUAGCAUCUAUUCAGACGAUGGACUUUUGUUUCAGUGUUGGUGUGAAUGUUUUAAGACGUUUCUCGCCUUUACAGGCAUUUACUCGGAAUGGCAAUUAAUUUAGAAACGUUGAGAUCGGAUUACCAAGCGGAAUAGGAUCGGCUUAUUUAAUCUUCAAAGAAGCGCCGCGGCCUCUUUCGCAAUUUGAGCGGCGCGACUUGCAAAUGCAGUUCCUAUACCUGGAGAUUAAUUGUGACUUAAGUACACGGCGGAAGGAAGGAUUAUAGCGAACUCACACGACACCAACCCAAUCGGUCGCGCAGCGUCUCGACACCUUGGCGCCACUCACGUACACACCACACACUCGUCCAGUCGUGUACUAUACACACUACCGCUCACAGUAACUGCACUAUAAAGUGGACCCUCCGAUAUUAUGUUGCAAACGUGCCACUUUGUUUAAUUAGCACUGCUUCCUUCGAAAAUUUAUUUCUCACGUUGCAUGUUGCAAACUUCACUGAACAACUUAAAAAUUGAUGUACGUCCUUUUUGGUUUUUUAAUAUAUUGCGAUUUUCGAAUUGUACAAUUUGUUGGCGAACGACAAUGUCUUAAAUUUAUAUGUACUAUCGUAAGCCGUUCUGCGGCACUAAACGAUAUCGAUCGAGAUUUAGCGAGAUGCGAUUAUAGUGCCCUCGACGGCGACAGCUUAGAAUAAAAUAUGGCGGAAUAGAACAACACGUGCCUAAUUUCAUUCCCGCUAAAAUCGUAAGAUAAAAAUAGUCUACGCUAUUAACUUCAAACAUAUUUUUUAACAUUACAGGCGUUGAUUAGUUAUAACUAAAUGUUGUAUGUUAAAGACGAUUGUUUCAUAUCUUUUAUUAAAGAUAUUUAGAAAAAGAUAUUUUUAGAAACGAUAUUGUGGUUAAUUUUCUGAGAGUUUUAUAUUUGAUUUAUACAUUCAAUCGUACACUCGAGUAAGACUGCAAUUUUCGUUGCAGGCAGUCCAUUAUAACAUUACCGUGCAGAUCUGCAUAAUAUCUUACAUAACAGAGAAGAGAAGAGUAAUAGAAACGGUUACUCAUCUCCAGCCUCUCGGAAUUUACAUGUCUUUGCUAAGAAAAUACAGGAGCUGGGGGAAGCGGUAGUGUAAUAACGUUCAUGUGCGACUAGGACGACGGCGGCGGCGAAAUUGCCCGACUGGAACAGGCGCCAGUCGGAGAAAUAACGAGAAGGAAGAAUAGAGGAAUGAAGGAAGAAUAAAUAUACGCGAGGCAGCUCGGAGGAGAUCGGCGAAACGAUGUACAGCUUCCGGCCAAAGGGGUGCGAAGGGUCGAUCGAUAAAGGAGGUCGACGGGGGUGGCCGAGGGGCACGCUUAAAGGGAAGUGAAAUACGCGUGAAGAACUGCACUUUCGUAAAUUCGGACGAAUCACUUCCGUUCGAUGCCUCCUCAUCGUAUUUAACGGGGGUGAUUGCGACUGGAUCGUGCGUGACGAAGUGGAGAACGAGCAGAAUUUAUAGAUAGAGUCUCUGAAAGAGUUGUAAAAUUAUGGCUUUUAAAAACAUAUCGCUAAUGAUUGUAGAUAAAUUAAAUAUAGUACAAAAACUUUCUCUAAGAACAAAA
Molecule: long non-coding RNA, 1990 nt
Organism: Ooceraea biroi (clonal raider ant)
Lineage: Eukaryota; Metazoa; Arthropoda; Insecta; Hymenoptera; Formicidae
Source: RefSeq, a predicted model, not a curated record